Molecule: ribosomal RNA, 485 nt
Filed under: uncultured bacterium
Lineage: Bacteria
Description: bacterial SSU rRNA
Rfam family: Bacterial small subunit ribosomal RNA
Source: RNAcentral
GACGAACGCUGGCGGCGUGCCUAACACAUGCAAGUCGAACGAGAUCCAUGGGAGCUUGCUCCCGGAAGAUCUAGUGGCGAACGGGUGAGUAACACGUGAGAAACCUGCCCUGGAGUGGGGAAUAACUCGGGGAAACUCGAGCUAAUACCGCAUACCCUCGGAUGGUCGCAUGGCCGACCGAGGAAAGAUUUAUCGCUCUAGGAGGGUCUCGCGGCCUAUCAGCUAGUUGGUGGGGUAACGGCCUACCAAGGCAACGACGGGUAGCUGGUUUGAGAGAACGAUCAGCCACACUGGGACUGAGACACGGCCCAGACUCCUACGGGAGGCAGCAGUGGGGAAUCUUGCGCAAUGGGCGAAAGCCUGACGCAGCAACGCCGCGUGCGGGAUGACGGCCUUCGUGGUUGUAAACCGCUUUCAGCAGGGACGAAAAUAGACGGUACCUGCAGAAGAAGCCCGGCUAACUACGUGCCAGCAGCCGCGGUAAU